UUCGAGGUGGAUCCUGCUUUGUCGGCCUGCGAUUCUGGCUCUUAAAUCCUCGGCGCGGUGGCUAGUUUGCUGUGCGGUGUGGGUCCUCUCCGGCCACUGCGUUGGAGAGAGAGCCCGUUAUGAAUAUCACACCCCGUUCCUGGAACAGCACGAGGCACAGCACACGUUGGAAAUAUGCAUUUAGAUCUCGGGUCAGAACCCAGGAUGGGCCAUCCUGGAUCGGACAGUUGGUCCAGCAAAUCCAGUAUCAUGCCUCCAGCAGUAGCCAACACCUGAUGCUCCAAGGAAAGGUCAUUGAAAGAAGUGUUAAAUAGCUUCGGGUCAAGAACUCAGCCCUGUGGGACCCCACUGGAGACACACUCACUC
Molecule: long non-coding RNA, 366 nt
Organism: Chelonia mydas (Green sea turtle)
Lineage: Eukaryota; Metazoa; Chordata; Testudines; Cheloniidae
Exons: 3
Source: RefSeq, a predicted model, not a curated record